CAACCUGCCGUCUACUCUUGGACAGCCUUCUGAAAGGAAGAUUAAUACAAGAUGGCAUCAUGAGUCCGCAUGUUCACAUGAUUAAAGGUAUUCCGGUAGACGAUGGGGAUGCGUUCCAUUAGAUAGUAGGCGGGGUAACGGCCCACCUAGUCUUCGAUGGAUGGGGGUUCUGAGAGGAAGGUCCCCCACAUUGGAACUGAGACACGGUCCAAACUCCUACGGGAGGCAGCAGUGAGGAAUAUUGGUCAAUGGGCGAGAGCCUGAACCAGCCAAGUAGCGUGAAGGAUGACUGCCCUAUGGGUUGUAAACUUCUUUUAUAAAGGAAUAAAGUCGGGUAUGGAUACCCGUUUGCAUGUACUUUAUGAAUAAGGAUCGGCUAACUCCGUGCCAGCAGCCGCGGUAAUACGGAGGAUCCGAGCGUUAUCCGGAUUUAUUGGGUUUAAAGGGAGCGUAGAUGGAUGUUUAAGUCAGUUGUGAAAGUUUGCGGCUCAACCGUAAAAUUGCAGUUGAUACUGGAUAUCUUGGGUGCAGUUGAGGCAGGCGGAAUUCGUGGUGUAGCGGUGAAAUGCUUAGAUAUCACGAAGAACUCCGAUUG
This 595-nucleotide ribosomal RNA is filed under the name uncultured Bacteroidota bacterium. Its description in RNAcentral is "bacterial SSU rRNA". It matches the Rfam family "Bacterial small subunit ribosomal RNA", at positions 122 to 715 of the family's 1533-position model. Lineage: Bacteria; Pseudomonadati; Bacteroidota. The record is from RNAcentral.